GAUGAACGCUGGCGGCGUGCCUAAUACAUGCAAGUCGAGCGAACAGACGAGGAGCUUGCUCCUCUGACGUUAGCGGCGGACGGGUGAGUAACACGUGGAUAACCUACCUAUAAGACUGGGAUAACUUCGGGAAACCGGAGCUAAUACCGGAUAAUAUAUUGAACCGCAUGGUUCAAUAGUGAAAGACGGUUUUGCUGUCACUUAUAGAUGGAUCCGCGCCGCAUUAGCUAGUUGGUAAGGUAACGGCUUACCAAGGCAACGAUGCGUAGCCGACCUGAGAGGGUGAUCGGCCACACUGGAACUGAGACACGGUCCAGGCCCCUACGGGAGGCAGCAGUAGGGAAUCUUCCGCAAUGGGCGAAAGCCUGACGGAGCAACGCCGCGUGAGUGAUGAAGGUCUUCGGAUCGUAAAACUCUGUUAUUAGGGAAGAACAAAUGUGUAAGUAACUAUGCACGUCUUGACGGUACCUAAUCAGAAAGCCACGGCUAACUACGUG
Molecule: ribosomal RNA, 497 nt
Filed under: uncultured bacterium
Lineage: Bacteria
Description: partial 16S ribosomal RNA
Rfam family: Bacterial small subunit ribosomal RNA
Source: RNAcentral